UACGUAGGGUGCAAGCGUUGUCCGGAAUUAUUGGGCGUAAAGAGCUCGUAGGCGGCUUGUCACGUCGACUGUGAAAACCCGAGGCUCAACCUCGGGCCUGCAGUCGAUACGGGCAGGCUAGAGUUCGGUAGGGGAGACUGGAAUUCCUGGUGUAGCGGUGUAAUGCGCAGAUAUCAGGAGGAACACCGGUGGCGAAGGCGGGUCUCUGGGCCGAAACUGACGCUGAGGAGCGAAAGCGUGGGGAGCAAACAGG
RNAcentral lists this ribosomal RNA (253 nucleotides) under uncultured bacterium. RNAcentral's name for it is "partial 16S ribosomal RNA". It matches the Rfam family "Bacterial small subunit ribosomal RNA", at positions 524 to 776 of the family's 1533-position model. The record is from RNAcentral.